This 569-nucleotide ribosomal RNA is filed under the name Hyalinobatrachium esmeralda. Its description in RNAcentral is "partial 16S ribosomal RNA". It matches the Rfam family "Bacterial large subunit ribosomal RNA", at positions 1832 to 2598 of the family's 2925-position model. Lineage: Eukaryota; Metazoa; Chordata; Amphibia; Anura; Centrolenidae. The record is from RNAcentral.
CGCCUCUUGAAUAAAUAUAAGAGGUCCAGCCUGCCCAGUGACCAUGUUCAACGGCCGCGGUAUCCUAACCGUGCGAAGGUAGCGUAAUCACUUGUUCUUUAAAUAAGGACUAGUAUGAACGGCACCACGAAGGUUACACUGUCUCCUCUUUCUAAUCAGUGAAACUAAUCUCCCCGUGAAGAAGCGAGGAUAAUAAUAUAAGACGAGAAGACCCUAUGGAGCUUUAAACUACAAGACACUUGCUUAAACAUAACUAAAUUUCAGAAAACCUCCCCAUAUUCCAGCAAGAUGACCUUUAGUUUUAGGUUGGGGUGACCGCGGAGAAAAAAACAACCUCCACAUUGAAAGGAGCCAACUCCUUAGCCAAGAGCUACACCUCUACGCACCAACAAAAAGACAUUAAUUGACCCAAUAUUUUGAUCAACGAACCAAGUUACCCUAGGGAUAACAGCGCAAUCCACUUCAAGAGCCCAUAUCGACAAGUGGGUUUACGACCUCGAUGUUGGAUCAGGGUACCCCGGUGGUGCAGCCGCUACCAAAGGUUCGUUUGUUCAACGAUUAAAACCCUA